AGAGAAAUCAAGAAAUCAAGCAUUGAAAAGGUAAAUUUCAUUGAUUUUCCUUGUGAUUUUCACUACCCAUGCAUUUUUUUCUCAUUUCCAUGCAAAAUUAGAAAGUGGGUAUGGACACCCAUGCUGGCCAAACCUCCAUGGAUGAGUUUUGAGCUUGAUUUUUGGUUGAUUUUAAUUGAAUUAAGUGAUUUUAGUUAAGUUAUAUUGAAAUAUAGCAAAAAUAAGCUAGAAAUAUAAUUUUUUCCCAUUGAAACCCAUUAUGCUGAAUUUUCUAGGGGAAUAUUGGCUGCUGAUCUUGAUGGUUAUUUGAGGAAUUAUGAUGAAUAAUGAUGAAUUAUGAGCCUAGAAAAAUAAUGGAAAUUUUCGGAGCAAAAAUACAAAUUUUUACCCACUAGGGGUAUUUUCGUAAUUUGUUAUCGGGACUGAUAAUUUGCACCACACUGAGGGACAUUAAGUCAAUUUGGGUGCAAUUGAGGUAUAGAAACUGAAAAAAAUUAAUUUGGAGUUUAAACGGACGCGUAUAUCAAUUUAUCGGGUAAAAGACCGAAAUAGGCUAACACCGCAUUUAGGCAAAAAUUUAGACAUUUUUGCAUUCCAUAUCAAGCAUUAGUAGUCUAAAUUAGUUUAAUUUCAAUUUAGUACCAAUGUGGUGAAUUUCUCGAUUUUGUACUGUGUCAAGGUGGUGAGUCCUCUGAUAAAGGCAAGGGAAUUGCACCCGAGGACCAAUAGUCUGAGUAUUUCGAAAAUCCCCACUCUAGACACGGUGAGUAACCUUACCAUCAUUUUAAUUAUCUAAAGUAUGUUUUUAUUCGGUUUUGGUGAAUUUUAUGAAAAUGAGUUCAAAUGGUAAAUUUUUAUGUUUUGUAAACAAAAUGAGUUUAAAUGAAAAUAUUUUAUAAAUUGUCUUGAAACGAAAUAACGAUUUUGAAAAUAGAGUAAUUGGAGACCACUGAUAUGUUGUAAAUUUAAAAUUGAAUUAAUGGCUUAUGUUAUUGUAUUGGCAUGACUGGCUGGGCUGUGUUUUUUAUGAAUUGUAUGAAUUGCUUUAUUUUACCCUUGCAGGCUGGGUAGUAAUAUAUUAGCCCUGUCAUGCUGUCAAAAUUUUAUUGUAUGGUGGGUUUGACCUGCUGCAGUGGGCUGGAUUCUGUGGACUAGCCUAUUAGAGGGGCACGGAAUCCUGUUAUAUUUUUACCUCGGUUGGAGAGGCGAGUAGGGUAACUCCUGAGGUAUAACUUUUAGAGUUCACUUCACGCCAAACCACCUCGUGAAGGGGAACUCGGCCAACGCCAAGGAAUGGCUAUGUUUUCAAAAUAAAAACAUGACUUUCUAAUAGCCUUGGCGGACUCAGUUGGGAUAGCCCUCGGCCAAGGUAUCCCAAAUAACUGAGUAUGAUAAUAAUUUUUGGCAUGAGCCAAGCUUUUUAAGAAAUUCAUAAGCCAUACUGAUUACUUGCUUUAAAUAAAUUGAUUUCAUUUGGUUGAAAUAAGUUGAAAGAUGAUAAAUUACAGUUUGAUGAAAUGUUUUAAUAGUCUCCUUUUACUCGACUUUAGAUAUUUUGAGUGAUGUUUGUUUACUCACUGGGAUUUUAUAAUCUCACCACCCUCAUUUCCACCCAUUUCAGGUUCAGAAUAGAUUGUAGAUAACUGAUAUCGGCAAGGAUUACAGUUGAACUUGCCACAUCCAAAGACUGUAGGUUCAUUUCUUUUGAUACUUUUGGUCAUUCGUGGGCCCACGUGUCACUGUAAAUUAAAUUCUAUACUUUGGUUAUCUGUAUUACGGUAUGUAAGAAUUUAUUUUGCUUUUACGCUAUAAAAAUUAUUUAUGCAGUGGUUCUUAAAUAUCGUUUUAUGUGAAAAUUGAAUAUUUUAUUGAAUAUUUUUAUUUUAUUAUAACAGUCAUAAUUCCAUUUUAAACGAAUGUUUUAGACAUCCAAAAUUAUUUUUGAUUAAGAAAUAUGUGUUUUCCACUUACAUACUAUAUUUUUAGAUGAUUUUUGAGAUUUUUGGGAUAAAUGACAAAAAUACCCCUGUGAGAUAAAAAUUAUUAUUUCAUUUGUUUAAGUUGGAAACAGUUUAAAAUCUUUUAAAAUGUGGUAUUUGGAAACAAUUACCCACAGGGGAAAUGAGAAGCUGAUAUUAAAGCCUUGCGGGGUCUCGGUUGACAUUCCGGGUAAUGAAUGUAAAUUGAGACGUCGCGGCGGUUGUCACGGGCUCGAUGGGAGUUCCGGGUCGUGACA
Molecule: long non-coding RNA, 2236 nt
Filed under: Theobroma cacao (cacao)
Lineage: Eukaryota; Viridiplantae; Streptophyta; Magnoliopsida; Malvales; Malvaceae
Description: long non-coding RNA (TCAC_LNC005290)
Source: RNAcentral